This 498-nucleotide ribosomal RNA is filed under the name Acrobeloides sp. Sourhope farm. RNAcentral describes it as "SSU rRNA". It matches the Rfam family "Eukaryotic small subunit ribosomal RNA", at positions 41 to 538 of the family's 1831-position model. The record is from RNAcentral. Lineage: Eukaryota; Metazoa; Nematoda; Chromadorea; Rhabditida; Cephalobidae.
AGAUUAAGCCAUGCAUGUCUAAGUAUAAACGAUUUAAUCGUGAAACCGCGAAUGGCUCAUUAUAACAGCUAUAAUUUACUUGAUCUUGACACAAUCCUACUUGGAUAACUGUGGUAAUUCUAGAGCUAAUACAUGCAUUAAAGCUCUGACCUCACGGGAAGAGUGCAUUUAUUAGAACAAAACCAAGCGGCUUCGGCUGUUUCUGGUUGACUCAUAGUAACUGAGCUGAUCGCAUGGUCUUGCACCGGCGACGUGUCUUUCAAGUAUCUGCCGUAUCAACUUUCGAUGGUAGUGUAUCUGACUACCAUGGUGAUCACGCGUAACGGAGAAUAAGGGUUCGGCUCCGGAGAGUUCGCCUGAGAAAUCGCGAACACAUCUAAGGAAGGCAGCAGGCGCGAAAAUUACCCACUCUCAGCACGAGGAGGUAGUGACGAAAAAUAACGAGACCGUUCUCUUAUGAGGCCGGUCAUCGGAAUGGGUACAAUUUAAACCCUUAAC